RNAcentral lists this ribosomal RNA (253 nucleotides) under uncultured bacterium. Its description in RNAcentral is "partial 16S ribosomal RNA". It matches the Rfam family "Bacterial small subunit ribosomal RNA", at positions 524 to 776 of the family's 1533-position model. The record is from RNAcentral.
UACGGAGGGUGCGAGCGUUGUCCGGAAUUACUGGGCGUAAAGCGUGCGCAGGCGGUGAUGUAAGACAGAUGUGAAAUCCCCGGGCUCAACCUGGGAACUGCAUUUGUGACUGCAUCGCUGGAGUGCGGCAGAGGGGGAUGGAAUUCCGCGUGUAGCAGUGAAAUGCGUAGAUAUGCGGAGGAACACCGAUGGCGAAGGCAAUCCCCUGGGCCUGCACUGACGCUCAUGCACGAAAGCGUGGGGAGCAAACAGG